AGAGUUUGAUCCUGGCUCAGAUUGAACGCUGGCGGCAUGCCUUACACAUGCAAGUCGAACGGCAGCACGGGUGCUUGCACCUGGUGGCGAGUGGCGAACGGGUGAGUAAUAUAUCGGAACGUGCCCUAGAGUGGGGGAUAACGUAGCGAAAGUUACGCUAAUACCGCAUACGAUCUACGGACGAAAGUGGGGGAUCGCAAGACCUCAUGCUCAUGGAGCGGCCGAUAUCUGAUUAGCUAGUUGGUGGGGUAAAAGCCUACCAAGGCGACGAUCAGUAGCUGGUCUGAGAGGACGACCAGCCACACUGGGACUGAGACACGGCCCAGACUCCUACGGGAGGCAGCAGUGGGGAAUUUUGGACAAUGGGGGCAACCCUGGUCCAGCAAUGCCGCGUGUGUGAAGAAGGCCUUCGGGUUGUAAAGCACUUUUGUCAGGAACGAAACGGUGGAGGCUAAUACCUUCUGCUAAUGACGGUACCUGAAGAAUAAGCACCGGCUAACUACGUGCCAGCAGCCGCGGUAAUACGUAGGGUGCGAGCGUUAAUCGGAAUUACUGGGCGUAAAGCGUGCGCAGGCGGUUGUGNCAGACAGAUGUGAAAUCCCCGGG
Molecule: ribosomal RNA, 606 nt
Filed under: uncultured freshwater bacterium
Lineage: Bacteria
Description: bacterial SSU rRNA
Rfam family: Bacterial small subunit ribosomal RNA
Source: RNAcentral